AAGGCUGGGCGGGGAGGAAACAAGGGAAAAUCGCGGCCGUCCAUAAUCGAUCCUGCGGACGCGAUCUGUGGAUACGCGAGAGUAGACCGGGGCCGUCGAUCGCAACUUAAAAUACGAGGCCGAAAAGAAACUCUCGAAUCUCUUCUUUCUCCAUCUGUUUUUUCACGGCUCUGUUCGUUCUUUAUUUUUUUUUCACAUCCGGGAAGAUCAAAGACCUGUAAAACCAUCAAAAUUACCAAGGAGAUCGAAGAAGAUAGUAGCGGUUAAGGUUCUGUCGAUCAUAGCCAUGGCUGGCACUUAUUUGGAGAAACUCCUCCCAGAACUUGAGAAAGCAAUGAAGAACUUUGCUCAUAAAUGCAGUGCCGUUGCUAGACUAUACAGCAAUGGCUGUGAUCCAUCACCACGAUAAUACCUCAGAAUGUUAUAAUGUAUCAGAAAGUUUCAAUUUAUUUAUCUUAAUAUUAUGGUGUACUUAAAGGAGUGGUCUCUUUGUUGGGUGACUCCGAUGGAUGUUAGAACUCUGUUGAAUGCCUGGUCCUUUAAGACGACUCCUGGUCGAAAAGCGACUGUGCUAAAGGUCCUUCCGGCAGCUAUUAUGUGGAGUUUAUGGAAAGAAACAAAUAUGCGAGCCUUCCAGAAUAUCACCAAGACUCAAGAGGGGAUCAUAGACUCUAUCAAGUGGACGGUAGCUUACUGGUUGCAUGAUAAAGGUCCCUUCAAAAACGUGUCUAUGGAUCACUUUGUAAUCAGGUGGAAAGAGGUGAUUUUCCACCGUCCUUGAGGGGGCUGGUUCUCCUUGGUGCUUGGGGCACUCAGGUCUGUUGCUCCGUUUUUGGCUUGGGAAGUUGUUUUGUGUGUAGUUGUGUUUUGCUCGUAGUAGCGUAGUUUUGGGUGGUCUUCUUGACCUUCCUUCUUUUUUUGGUCGUGCAAAGUCAGGGCUCAUUCUUCAUGUACUUUUGACUUCUAUCUAUAAAAACUUUAAAUUUACUGAUCAGAAAUAAAUAAAUAAAAUAAAUUAUGGUGUA
Papaver somniferum (opium poppy) is the source of this 1025-nucleotide RNA transcript. RefSeq lists it as uncharacterized. The record is from RefSeq and is a predicted model, not a curated record. Lineage: Eukaryota; Viridiplantae; Streptophyta; Magnoliopsida; Ranunculales; Papaveraceae. The transcript has 4 exons.